This 485-nucleotide ribosomal RNA is filed under the name uncultured bacterium. Its description in RNAcentral is "bacterial SSU rRNA". It matches the Rfam family "Bacterial small subunit ribosomal RNA", at positions 28 to 507 of the family's 1533-position model. The record is from RNAcentral.
GGUGAACGCUAGCGGCAGGCCUAACACAUGCAAGUCGAGGGGCAGCACGGAUUGCUUGCAAUCUGGUGGCGACCGGCGCACGGGUGCGUAACGCGUAUACAACCUACCUUUUGGAGGGGAAUAGCCCAGAGAAAUUUGGAUUAAUACCCCAUAGUAUAUAGGAAUCUCCUGAUUUUUAUAUUAAACAUUUAUGGCCAUUAGAUGGGUAUGCGUCCUAUUAGCUAGUUGGUGUGGUAACGGCACACCAAGGCUACGAUAGGUAGGGGUCCUGAGAGGGAGAUCCCCACACUGGUACUGAGACACGGACCAGACUCCUACGGGAGGCAGCAGUGAGGAAUAUUGGACAAUGGGCGAGAGCCUGAUCCAGCCAUGCCGCGUGCAGGAAGACUGCCCUAUGGGUUGUAAACUGCUUUUACAGAGGAAGAACCACCCCCACGUGUGGGGGUUUGACGGUACUCUGCGAAUAAGGAUCGGCUAACUCCGUG